RNAcentral lists this ribosomal RNA (690 nucleotides) under Clostridium sp. enrichment culture. RNAcentral's name for it is "bacterial SSU rRNA". It matches the Rfam family "Bacterial small subunit ribosomal RNA", at positions 44 to 749 of the family's 1533-position model. Lineage: Bacteria; Bacillati; Bacillota; Clostridia; Eubacteriales; Clostridiaceae. The record is from RNAcentral.
GUGCUUAACACAUGCAAGUCGAGCGAAAGGAUUCCCUUCGGGGAUGAAUUUAGCGGCGGACGGGUGAGUAACACGUGGGCAACCUGCCUUAUAGAGGGGGAUAGCCUUCCGAAAGGAAGAUUAAUACCGCAUAACAUCAUUUUACCGCAUGGUAGUUUGAUCAAAGGAGCAAUCCGCUAUAAGAUGGGCCCGCGGCGCAUUAGCUAGUUGGUGAGGUAACGGCUCACCAAGGCGACGAUGCGUAGCCGACCUGAGAGGGUGAUCGGCCACAUUGGGACUGAGACACGGCCCAGACUCCUACGGGAGGCAGCAGUGGGGAAUAUUGCACAAUGGGGGAAACCCUGAUGCAGCAACGCCGCGUGAGUGAUGAAGGCCUUCGGGUUGUAAAGCUCUGUCUUUGGGGACGAUAAUGACGGUACCCAAGGAGGAAGCCACGGCUAACUACGUGCCAGCAGCCGCGGUAAUACGUAGGUGGCAAGCGUUGUCCGGAUUUACUGGGCGUAAAGGGAGCGUAGGUGGAUAUUUAAGUGGGAUGUGAAAUCCCCGGGCUUAACCUGGGGGCUGCAUUCCAAACUGGAUAUCUAGAGUGCAGGAGAGGAGAGUGGAAUUCCUAGUGUAGCGGUGAAAUGCGUAGAGAUUAGGAAGAACACCAGUGGCGAAGGCGACUCUCUGGACUGUAACUGACACUGA